CCUACGGGAGGCAGCAGUGAGGAAUAUUGGUCAAUGGGAGAGAUCCUGAACCAGCCAAGCCGCGUGAGGGAAGACGGCCCUAUGGGUUGUAAACCUCUUUUGUCGGAGAACAAAACCCGGGACGUGUCCCGGACUGCGUGUAUCCGAAGAAAAAGCAUCGGCUAACUCCGUGCCAGCAGCCGCGGUAAUACGUAUGGUGCAAGCGUUAUCCGGAUUUACUGGGUGUAAAGGGAGCGCAGGCGGUGCGGCAAGUCUGAUGUGAAAGCCCGGGGCUCAACCCCGGGACUGCAUUGGAAACUACCGAA
RNAcentral lists this ribosomal RNA (305 nucleotides) under uncultured bacterium. Its description in RNAcentral is "bacterial SSU rRNA". It matches the Rfam family "Bacterial small subunit ribosomal RNA", at positions 338 to 640 of the family's 1533-position model. The record is from RNAcentral.